This 376-nucleotide ribosomal RNA is filed under the name uncultured bacterium. RNAcentral describes it as "bacterial SSU rRNA". It matches the Rfam family "Bacterial small subunit ribosomal RNA", at positions 521 to 896 of the family's 1533-position model. The record is from RNAcentral.
UAAUACGUAGGGAGCAAGCGUUGUUCGGAUUUACUGGGCGUAAAGAGUGCGUAGGUGGCUAUAUAAGUCAAGGGUGAAAUCUCUACUUUCAAGGUAGAAACUGCCUUUGAUACUGUAUAGCUAGAGGACAAGAGGGGGAAAUGGAACUCUGGGAGUAGCGGUGAAAUGCGUAGAUAUUCAGAGGAACGCCAGUAGCGAAGGCGGUUUCCUGGCUUGUUUCUGACACUGAGGCACUAAAGCUAGGGGAGCGAUCGGGAUUGGAGACCCCGGUAGUCCUAGCCCUAAACGAUGGGUACUAAGUGUGGGGGGAGCAUUACCCUCUGUGCUGAAGCUAACGCGUUAAGUACCCCGCCUGGGGAGUACGGUCGCAAGGCUG